GACCUAGCGCCGCGCCGCGAUCAGGCCUAUAUUUGUCGUGUCGCAAGACGAUGGCGCUGAACCUUAGAGCGGACUACGGACAGACCCGGGGGCAGUACCCGGCGCCUCCACCCCAGCAGCCUCACCGAAUGUGGGCUGUUGCGGCGGGGGCGAAAUAGGAUCGAUGGUCGUGAAGAAGCUCUGAGUUGUGCUCGGCAUGAUACCGCCGUUAUCGGGUCAAAACCUAAAUGCAAACGAUAACGUUCGCAUGAACGAAGUGCGCCUCGCGGCGUAACCGUUCGGGGUAGGUACACCUUGCAACAGAACGGCCAUU
This 313-nucleotide transfer-messenger RNA is filed under the name Rhodopseudomonas sp. BAL398. It matches the Rfam family "Alphaproteobacteria transfer-messenger RNA". Rfam says of the family: Bacterial tmRNA, also known as 10Sa RNA or SsrA, is named for its dual tRNA and mRNA-like properties. Its role is to liberate the mRNA from a stalled ribosome. Lineage: Bacteria; Pseudomonadati; Pseudomonadota; Alphaproteobacteria; Hyphomicrobiales; Nitrobacteraceae. The record is from RNAcentral.